ACACGUCUACAUUAGAUACCCCCCGUAGUCCCAGCCGUAAACUAUGCGCGUUAGGUGUAUCGGUGACCACGAGUCACCGAGGUGCCGAAGGGAAACCGUGAAACGUGCCGCCUGGGAAGUACGGUCGCAAGGCUGAAACUUAAAGGAAUUGGCGGGGAGCACCACAACGGGUGGAGCCUGCGGUUUAAUUGGACUCAACGCCGGGAAGCUCACCGGAUAAGACAGCGGAAUGAUUGCCGGGCUGAAGACUCUGCAUGACUAGCUG
This 265-nucleotide ribosomal RNA is filed under the name uncultured archaeon. RNAcentral's name for it is "partial 16S ribosomal RNA". It matches the Rfam family "Archaeal small subunit ribosomal RNA", at positions 717 to 982 of the family's 1478-position model. The record is from RNAcentral.